This 1514-nucleotide unclassified non-coding RNA is filed under the name Hevea brasiliensis (rubber tree). The record is from RNAcentral. Lineage: Eukaryota; Viridiplantae; Streptophyta; Magnoliopsida; Malpighiales; Euphorbiaceae.
CUCUCUCUCUCUCUCUCUCUUCUCAACCCACAAAGCUAAAGUCUCUCUCUAUCUCUCCCUCCAUGGCCUGUAAAUUUCAUAUCUUUCUUCUCCUCUGCUUUCUCAUUAUCUUCAUCAAUUCAACAUUUUCUCUAGAAUCAGGAAUAGACUGCACCGGUCGCUGGAUCCACAUCAGACGCCUGCCUUCACGCUUCAAUCUUGAUCUUCUCACUAACUGCUCUGCAUACCCUCUUUUUGACAAUUUCUGCCCUUAUCUCACCAACCAUGGCCUUGGCCCCAAGACCCACAACCGCUCUCAGUCUUGGUACCGCUCCGAUCCUCUCUUGCUCGAGGUCACCUUCCAUCGCCGGAUGCUCGAGUACCCAUGCCUAACCGCUGAUCCCAAUCUAGCCAACGCCGUCUACUUGCCUUACUAUGCAGCAAUCGAUGCAUUGAGGUAUCUUUAUGGUCCUAAUGUCAACACUAGCAUGGAACACGGGCUUGAAUUGUUCGACUUUCUUCAAGAAAAUGAUGCUAGGAUAUGGGGAAGACGUAACGGGAUUGAUCAUUUUCUGGUUAUGGCUCGUCCAGCCUGGGAUUUCUCGCAGUCCUUGUAUGUUGACCCUCCUGUGUGGGGCACUUCGUUUCUCGAAUUGCCAGAGUUUUAUAAUGUCACCGCUUUGGUUGUUGAGGGCAGGGCUUGGCCUUGGCAGGAACAGGCUGUGCCUUACUUGACUUCAUUUCACCCUCCAACUUUGGCCCUGUUCGACUCUUGGAUCAAACGCGUUAAGGGUUCCAGAAGAACCACGUUGAUGCUUUUUGCAGGCGGAGGAGGGGUCGGCGCCACCUUAAAUAUCAGGAGGAGCAUCAGGAACGAGUGUGAAAAUGGCAGCGAUAGUGCCAGUUUUUUAGUCAGUCGAGGAUAUAGCUCUCUCUACUACACCAAGGUGUGUGAUUUAGUGGAUUGCUCUAAUGGGAUUUGUGAGCACGACCCAAUCAGGUAUAUGAGACCAAUGUUACAAGCCACCUUUUGUCUGCAGCCUCCAGGGGAUACCCCAACUCGGAGGUCUACUUUUGAUGCCAUCGUUGCAGGGUGUAUACCGGUUUUCUUCGAGGAACAGUCUGCAAAAACGCAAUACAGGUGGCACUUGCCGGAGGAAAUGUAUGGGGAUUUUGCAGUGUUUAUACCCAAAGAGGAAGUGGUGUAUAAAGGGUUGAAGAUUUUGGACGUGCUUAUGGGAAUUCCUAGAGCUCAAGUGAGGAGGAUGAGGGAGAAAGUUAUAGACUUGAUGCCAAGAGUUGUGUAUAGGAAGCAUGGAAGUUCCUUUGGUUUAAGAGCCAAGAAGGAUGCAUUUGAUAUUGCAAUUGAAGGUGCUUUGGAGAGGAUCAACUCUAGGCUUAAAGGAAGAGAUUUUGAUCAAUGACUAGUUCUCAUUCUUUAUUGUCUGUUGUAAUUAUUGUAAUUCGCUGUUCUUCAUCUUCUUUCUUGCUGAUAAAUUGCAGAGAAAAAUAGAUUAUUAUUAUUAUUAUUAUUA